RNAcentral lists this ribosomal RNA (322 nucleotides) under uncultured eukaryote. Its description in RNAcentral is "partial 18S ribosomal RNA". It matches the Rfam family "Eukaryotic small subunit ribosomal RNA", at positions 1470 to 1796 of the family's 1831-position model. The record is from RNAcentral.
CCCUUAGAUGUUCUGGGCCGCACGCGUGCUACACUGAGUGGAUCAGCGGGUCAGGUUGCGCGAAAGCGUUUCCUAAUCUUUAAAUACGCUCGUGAUGGGGAUUGACGGUUGCAAUUUUCUGUCAUGAACGAGGAAUACCUUGUAAGCGCGGGUCAUCAUCCCGCGCUGAAUACGUCCCUGCCCUUUGUACACACCGCCCGUCGCUCCUACCGAUUGAGUGGUCCGGUGAGGCUUUGGGAUCUGAGCGGAAAGAGCGUUUCGCUGUUUCUGCUCGGAAAACUCAGUCGAACCUUAUCAUUUAGAGGAAGGAGAAGUCGUAACA